RNAcentral lists this ribosomal RNA (253 nucleotides) under uncultured bacterium. Its description in RNAcentral is "partial 16S ribosomal RNA". It matches the Rfam family "Bacterial small subunit ribosomal RNA", at positions 524 to 776 of the family's 1533-position model. The record is from RNAcentral.
UACGAAGGGGGCUAGCGUUGCUCGGAAUCACUGGGCGUAAAGCGCACGUAGGCGGAUCUUUAAGUCAGGGGUGAAAUCCCGAGGCUCAACCUCGGAACUGCCUUUGAUACUGGGGAUCUCGAGUCCGGAAGAGGUUGGUGGAACUCCGAGUGUAGAGGUGAAAUUCGUAGAUAUUCGGAAGAACACCAGUGGCGAAGGCGGCCAACUGGUCCGGCACUGACGCUGAGGUGCGAAAGCGUGGGGAGCAAACAGG